Long non-coding RNA from Nicotiana tabacum (common tobacco), 632 nucleotides. RefSeq lists it as uncharacterized. The record is from RefSeq and is a predicted model, not a curated record. NCBI's taxonomy places the organism in Eukaryota, Viridiplantae, Streptophyta, Magnoliopsida, Solanales, Solanaceae.
AUCAUACCUGCAAAAAGUCAAAUCUAAGAAUGAAGCUUCAAUUGGUACACACAUUAUCAAUACAGAUAGAUCAGUUUGUUUCUACACAAUUCAAGAAGAGAUCCUUGCCUUUCCCAACUGCAUUUUAGGCUUAACUACGAAGUUCACUUACCUGAAGACUUCUUUCUAAUCGCUAGUUGAUCCUAAGUAAUUGUUGUUGUUUACUGGGUUCCGCAGGACCUACUCAUAAGAAUUGGGAAAUUGUUGCAAUUCUUCGAAUUCUCCUGUCGAGAGUCACAUUUAAAGCACUAGUAUUUUUUUUCUGUCAGGAGGAAAUUUUCGCUCCUUCCACUCUUAAAAGGUUCAAAAAAGAGAUUCAAUCCAACCUUUGAGGACAGAGGUUGUCAGUUACUGCAGAGAGAGUGAUGAUCUUCAUUCUAGUCUCCAAAAGCUUAUCUUCAGGAUAGUCAGCAAAUGGCUCUUCCAAGAACAUUGAAAGUCUUUCAACAUUUAUUUCAAGUUGCUGCUGCAGGUUCUCAAAAAGGAACAGGAGAGGACCCGUCUUGAUUGAAGGAGUCUAUUAAAUCCAUUUUCUGCCCAGCUGAAGUCCUUUGAUUGCAAUUCUGUCGAUUCAAGUUUCAAGACUUUUACAU